This 72-nucleotide ribozyme is filed under the name Phocaeicola dorei. Its description in RNAcentral is "HDV ribozyme from F. prausnitzii". It matches the Rfam family "HDV ribozyme from F. prausnitzii". Lineage: Bacteria; Pseudomonadati; Bacteroidota; Bacteroidia; Bacteroidales; Bacteroidaceae. RNAcentral also lists the same sequence under 1 other name. The record is from RNAcentral.
GCUGCUCGAAAUUUCGCACACCUCUUCGUGGUGAGCAGCAGGCAACGAUCUUAUGGUCGGCGAAGAUGUGAA